GAUGAACGCUGGCGGCGUGCAUAACACAUUCAAGUCGAACGGUGAAGUACCUUCGGGUACGGAUCAGUGGCGGACGGGUGAGUAACGCGUGAAUAACCUGCCUGUAUGUGGGGGAUAACAACCGGAAACAGUUGCUAAUACCGCAUAAUAUAUGAGAGUCGCAUGUCUUUCAUAUCAAGAUUUAUUGCAUACAGAUGGAUUCGCGUCCGAUUAGAUAGUUGGUGAGGUAACGGCUCACCAAGUCGACGAUCGGUAGCCGGACUGAGAGGUUGAACGGCCACAUUGGGACUGAGACACGGCCCAGACUCCUACGGGAGGCAGCAGUGGGGGAUAUUGCACAAUGGNGGAAACUCUGAUGCAGCCAUGCCGCGUGUGUGAAGAAGGCCUUCGGGGUUGUUAAAAGGCACUUUUACCUAG
This 417-nucleotide ribosomal RNA is filed under the name uncultured bacterium. RNAcentral's name for it is "bacterial SSU rRNA". It matches the Rfam family "Bacterial small subunit ribosomal RNA", at positions 28 to 443 of the family's 1533-position model. The record is from RNAcentral.